AACGAACGCUGGCGGCGUGCCUAACACAUGCAAGUCGAACGAGAAAGGGGCUUCGGCUCCGAGUAAAGUGGCGCACGGGUGAGUAACACGUGGGUAACCUGCCUCUAAGAUUGGGAUAACUCGUCGAAAGAUGAGCUAAUACCGAAUCAGACCACAGUUCCCGCGGGAACAGGGGUCAAAGGUAGCCUCUGCUUGCAAGCUAUCACUUAGAGAUGGGCCUGCGCACCAUUAGCUAGUUGGUGGGGUAACGGCCUACCAAGGCAAAGAUGGUUAGCUGGUCUGAGAGGAUGAUCAGCCACACUGGUACGGAGACACGGUCCAGACUCCUACGGGAGGCAGCCGUGGGGAAUAUUGCGCAAUGGGCGAAAGCUUGACGCAGCAACGCCGCGUGAGUGAUGAAGGCCUUCGUGUCGUAAAGCUCUGUCGGGAGGAACGAAUGCUCCUGAGGUUAACAGCCUCGGGAGGUGACGGUACCUUCAAAGGAAGCACCGGCUAACUCUGUG
This 503-nucleotide ribosomal RNA is filed under the name uncultured bacterium. RNAcentral describes it as "partial 16S ribosomal RNA". It matches the Rfam family "Bacterial small subunit ribosomal RNA", at positions 29 to 507 of the family's 1533-position model. The record is from RNAcentral.